Molecule: ribosomal RNA, 696 nt
Filed under: Triticum aestivum (bread wheat)
Lineage: Eukaryota; Viridiplantae; Streptophyta; Magnoliopsida; Poales; Poaceae
Description: partial small subunit ribosomal RNA
Source: RNAcentral
AUGCCGCAUGCACUCUUGAUCAGAACCGUGGUGACUUUGUGGGCGAUUUGGUCGGCGCGCUGCAAAGCAAUACAUGAAGGAAUUCUUCAGAGCCCUCACGCCACUAACUCCUUCAUUAACAGUUUUAUUGCGGAACUUGAAGUAAUCAAUGAAGCAAACACGCAACAAUCUGUCCAACAGAAUGUAGUGCCAAGGAGAACAGAAGCUAGAUAUGAAUGGAGAGCACCAGGCCCGGGCGUGGCAAAAAUACACGUGGAUGGGGGUCUGGCGAGGGUAGGGAAUGGAGGUUCAUCGACAGCUUUAUGCCGGGAUCAGGAUGGCACAUACCUGGGCUCUUCCGCGAUGGUAUUUAGUGACAUUCAUGACCCGACGACUCUAGAAGCGCUUGCAUGCAGAGAAGCUAUGGCACUGGCGCAAGAUCUCUCUCUAAGAAGAAUCGUUAUUGCAUGUGACUACAAAACAAUGGUGGAAGAGAUUCAUAAGGGGUCAGCUGGCCUAUAUAGCGUGAUCAUCAAGGAGAUUGAAGCUUCAGCUAGGGAUUUUGAUAGCUGUGUUUUUAUUUUUGAAAGUCGUGUGUUGAAUUUUGAGGCCCAUAGUUUGGCCAAGUUUUCCUCGUCGUUAGCAGUGGGUCGCCAUGUGUGGCUGGGCUUUCCCCAUGACCCGUUUAUAAUUCCUGUAAACCGAACCCCGUCUUGA